CCCUUAGAUGAUUUGGGCUGCACGCGCGCUACACUGACCCUAACAAUGAGCAACUGUCUGGCCUGAGAUGGCUGGGUAGCCUUUUCAACCCAUGUCAUGAUUGGGCUAGAUUUUUGUAAGUCUUGAUCUCUAACGAGGAAUCCCUAGUAUGCAUGAAUCAUCAAUCCAUGCAGAUUAUGUCCCUGCCCUUUGUACACACCGCCCGCCGCUCCUACUGAUUGGGUGAUCCGGUGAGCUGUUCGGCCAUAGCAAUGUUUCUUGAGCAGGGCAAUGAAUGUUUCGCAAACCUUGCCACUUAGAGGAAGGAGAAGUCGUAACA
Molecule: ribosomal RNA, 319 nt
Filed under: uncultured eukaryote
Lineage: Eukaryota
Description: partial 18S ribosomal RNA
Rfam family: Eukaryotic small subunit ribosomal RNA
Source: RNAcentral